GAUGAACGCUGGCGGCGUGCCUAACACAUGCAAGUCGAGCGAUCUUCUUCGGAAGAGAGCGGCGGACGGGUGAGUAACGCGUGGGUAACCUGCCCUGUACACACGGAUAACAUACCGAAAGGUAUGCUAAUACGAGAUAAUAUGCUUUUAUCGCAUGGUAGAAGUAUCAAAGCUUUUGCGGUGCAGGAUGGACCCGCGUCUGAUUAGCUAGUUGGUAAGGUAACGGCUUACCAAGGCGACGAUCAGUAGCCGACCUGAGAGGGUGAUCGGCCACAUUGGAACUGAGACACGGUCCAAACUCCUACGGGAGGCAGCGGUGGGGAAUAUUGCACAAUGGGCGAAAGCCUGAUGCAGCAACGCCGCGUGAGCGAUGAAGGCCUUCGGGUCGUAAAGCUCUGUCCUCAAGGAAGAUAAUGACGGUACUUGAGGAGGAAGCCCCGGCUAACUACGUGCCAGCCGCCGCGGUAA
This 468-nucleotide ribosomal RNA is filed under the name uncultured bacterium. RNAcentral describes it as "partial 16S ribosomal RNA". It matches the Rfam family "Bacterial small subunit ribosomal RNA", at positions 28 to 523 of the family's 1533-position model. The record is from RNAcentral.